ACCUCAGAUGGAAAUGCAGAAAUCACCCGUCUUCUGUGUCGCUCACCCUGGGAGCUGUAGACCGGAGCUGUUCCUAUGCAGCCAUCUUGGCUGCCACCUCUGAAAUGUCUGCAUUCCUGUAUCUGCUCUGUGCCCUUUGCUCUGCUUGGCCUGGCUGAAGGAAGCACCUCUACUCCACCACCAUCUGGGCCUUUCCUAAACCUUGUCACCUGAGAGCCAUUCUCAACCUGCAGAACUUCCAGGACAACACUUUAACUUGAUUACUUCCCCAACCUAUGCCCUCCAGCCACCAGAAAGAAGCCUUCAGGAGUCCCUACAGCACCCACGCAGGCCCUCUCCAGUUUUCCCCCUCCCUUCCUGAUGCUGUGAAAACCACAGAAUAAAUGUUUAUCACUUUCAAAAAUAUUAUAUAUAUAUAUAAUAUAAAUGAAUUUUUCUUUUUACUGCACAUAAUAUAGUACCCUGUUCACCUCUCAGAUAAAUAAAUCAUAAUUAUCAUUUUCUGCUUUUAAAUACCCUGAAAAUAUAAAAAGUUACAUAAAAUCAAUUUUUUGAAACAUAAGUGCCUUAUAAUUAAUCAAACUGUAUUCCUGUCUAUUAUAUUAAGGUUUUUUUUUUCUUUUUCUGUGUGGUAUAAAUGCAACUAUGAGAAAUUCUUACAACUCUUUCUAGUCAUAGAAGGAUAUUACUAUUUUGAAAGCUUUAGUGCAUAUCAACAAUAUGACAUUGAGAAAUGUUGGAUUAAGUUGUCUCACCACCAGCAUUGCUUGGAAGUGCCUAUCUCUCUAAACACUGUCACUAACAUGGGGAAUUAUCAUUAAAGAAAAGAAAGUCUCAUCAACUUCUAGUCUUGAAAAUAUGUCAUAAUUAUAUAGGUAAAUCCUUGAGUGCUACAGUUUAGUCAUUUUUUACAUGUUUGUUGGUUCCUAUACAUAGUACCAUAUUUUUAUAAAGACAUCAAUUAUUAUCCAUUAAGGACUGUUAAACAUAUCAGUAACUCAUCCUUAUAUAUACUGACAUCUUUUCCAAGCUUCUCAUUUAUCAAGUUUCAUAUAAUAUUUGCAAAUAUUGGAGUUUUAAUUUAUAUGUAGUUAAAUACAUACUUUAUUUUCUGGGUGAUUCUUUUCUGUUUUUUUUUUUUUUUGUAGUUGUUUUUAUGCUUAGAAAGUUCUUCACUAUUUUGAUAAUAAAUAUUAGCUAAUGUUUCCUUUAAAUUGUUAUACUAUUUGGAAUUUAUUUGUUGUUUUAAAUUUCUACUACGUCUGAAGUAUAUCUUUGUUAUAUGAUAUAUGCUAGAAUAGAUUUUUAAUAUUUAAAGUUUUUAAAAUUUUUAUUUGCACUAAUUGUUGAAUAAUGCCUAUAUUCUUUAUAGAUUUUCUUUAUCAUCCUUUAGAAAGUACAUUCUGUAUACACACGGGCAUACAAACACACACAGUGUUCCAACACAAUCUAUCAUAUCAACUUGACUGAUACUACAUCAAUUUUUCUAUUAAUAAGCCACAUUAUUUAACUAUACAAUAUAUGUACUAAAGUACAUUCUUGUAGAACUCUUGUUUUCCACUUGUAUUUGUUAAAAUUAUCUCAUAUUGUUCUUCAUGAACUAAUAAAAGAUUUGAGGGAGAAAGAGGAUCUAUACAUUUAAAUCUUACUAUCCAAGAAUAUGAUGUGAUUUGUUCAAGUCUUCUCUUUUGUCUCUGAGUUAAGAUUUAUAAUUUUUGUCUUAUAAAUCUGUGUAUUUCUUAUUAAAUUUAAGGGAAACUCUUAAAAAUGAAAAGGGUAUAAUUUUUGCUAUUUUUUUCCUGUGUUCUCUCUAACUUAAUGAUCACUCAACUUGAAUUGCAAGGUAAUUUCUACAAGGGUCUCUCUCAGUUGCAGAGCAGUGAAUGGUGGUUAAGGUCCUGUCUCUGGAGCCCAACAUGUCUGAAUUUGCAAACCCAUCUUACCACUUAUCUGUGUGCCCUUAGCAAGAUAGUUAAGCUUUCUUUACCUCUGUUUCCUCAUUUAUCAAAUAGAGUUAUUAACAAAAAAAAAUUCUGAGGUGUCUUGAGAAAUAGAAGUAAGUUAAUAACAAUAGAAGUGCCAAACCAUUAUUAAGUGCUCAAUUAUAAUCCCUAAUCUUUUUAAGUGCUCAAAUAUAGGAUGUUAACUAUUAUUAAUAGCAUUAUAUCGUACUACUAAAAUAAAGUGAGAAUAUUCAAUUAAUUGGAAAGUCAAUAUACUGAAGAAAUGGAGCAGUGAUACAACCAAUGUGUUUGGGUUUAGUCAAAUUAAUUAACUGAAUUAUGUAGCCAUCAGAGACCGUGAGACAUCCAGAAUUUUAAUAUUCCUGUCAAAACAAGUCAAAGUAUCAUUUGAUUCUGGUGAAACGAUCUAUGACAGCCAAAGGAGCAUAAUCUAUAAUAACAAUUAUUUUAGCAAAGUUAAAAAGUUUAUUCAUUAUGAUUAUAAUGAUUUUUGCAUUACUCAUAUAUAUUUCUGUUCUAUAAGUUAAAUGUAAAUCAUAUGCCUUUUUAGUAAUACAUCAAAUUAGUAGAACAUAUGUUUUAAUGUAUCUUCAUAAAUUUUAUUUUAUUAAAAAGAUAGUAUUUUGAGUAAUGACAUAAACAGCUUUAAAGUGAAAUGAUCUCGGAUUUAUUUAUUACUUAUAAAAGAUUUUAAUCAAUAAAUAUGUAUUCUUGAUCCUGGAAAAAAUAGAGGACUAAGAAAAUCUACACGCCCUUCAGCUAAAAGACCUAGGCUUCCUUAAAUAUAACAAUUAAUAUAAUUAUUCACACUAAUAACAACAAUAAUUAGAAAAUGUAAAGUUGGCAGAAAUAAAAAAAUAAAAAUAAAAUGUUAAACACAGGAGCCACUGUUGAGACUGCAACCUCAAACUGCUUUGGAAGAGGUGGUGGAAUAAAUAUGAGACGAUGUUCUGUAAAAACUUGGUGCUCACAGACAUACAAUCACAGGUUAAAAGACUUUGAGUCUGAACCAAACUCAGAGCAACAAAUGAAACUGCAUGAACCAUAAUGCUUGAAAGGCUACAUCAGCAUGAAAGGAAGAACCAGAAAAUGCCUCCCUGUGCGUUACAGGCAAAAGAAAAAAUAACCUUGUUUCUUCCUGGUUUGAGGGAUAGUUUAUGAGGCGUGGGGUGGAGUUUCCUGAGAAACUGAAAACUGUGUUUCAGAAUCCUUGUGGGUAGAAAAUUUUCAAGUGAAGAAAAUAUUAAAAAUGGUACCAGGAUGCUAUUGUCAUGUCAGCUUCUGGCUAAGGCAAGCACAAAAUCUUGGGAAAGACAAAAUGGCCUUAAAGAAAAAUAAAUAAAUAAAUAAACUCAUACUUUUACACAUUUAGUAAAACUACAGAACAAUAUUUGCAAAAAGAUAACCAUAAAAGGAGAAAAAAGCUCACUAAAUUUUCAACAAAAGAACAUUUAUCAGAUAUAUAUUUAGGUAUCUUAACCUCAAAUGUAGGCCAAACACAAUAGAAUAAUAUCAUCAAAUCCAUCAGUAAAAAAAGUCAACCCGAUUUCUAUAUCCCAUUCAACUAUAAUGUGAGAAUAAGGGCAAAAACAGUUUCUUUUUUUCAGGAAAAAAUAUUCUGUCACUCACUCAUGAAAGUGAAAUCAAAUCCAGUUGAGAGAAAGCUAGAAGAAACAUUACACAGUGUAAUUGGUAGGUAUAUGAGUAAAUCUGAACAAUCAUAAACUAUGAAAAAUAGUAAUGAUGAUAGUUACCAAUUGAGAAUAUAUAGAUAUAAUAACAAGAUAGGCUUGGGUUAAUGAAAAUUACAACAUUCUAUCUUAAUAUUAUUCAGAAAGAGGCUAGUAGAGACAGCGAUUAAGAAACUUCCACGUCUGAGUGCAGUGGCUCACACCUGUAAUACCAGGGUUUGGGAGGUUGAGGUGAGAGGAUUGCCUGAGCGUAGGCACUCGAGAUUACAGUGAGCUCUAACUGUGCCACUAUACUCCAGCCUGGGCAACAGAGGUAGACCCAGUCUCUAAAAACAAACAAACAAAUAAAAAGAAAGAAAUUUCUACUGUCUAAGUAUUUGUGUAAAUGUAAACCUAAUUGCCAAAAAUAUAAGAGGAAAUAAUAGAAAAUGAAGUGAACAUGAUAAAUAAACUAGCAAGCUGAAAAGGAAAACAAUUAAUAGGUAUAUAAAAUUCAAAGUUGAAACAAAGUUACUAGAAAUUAUCAAUGUAUGUAUAUAUGUAUGUAUAAUAGUACAUGCUUUUAAUAAUAUAUAAUUAUAAUAUAUAUCACUGCAUAUUAUUUACUAUAUAUGCUUAGAAAUAAAGAAUGGAGAGGAGAAUUAAAAUAUUGACUAUAAAGUUAUAUAUACACACAUAUUUGCAUGUAAAUAUAUUUACAUACUAACCAGUGUAUAUGCAUAUAUAUGCUCAAAUUGGUAAUAAAAAGGAAAAUUACUGAUAUUAUUUCUGUGGUUCCACAGGAAAAAAAAGCCACUUUAAAUCUUUAUAUCUCUAGAAACAAACUACUAAAUUUAUAAAGCAAACAUUUUAACAUUAACAAGUAGACAACAAAAGCUUCACAAUCACAUUGGAGAUUUUAAUGUGUAAUUUGCACAAUAGAUAAAUAGAAUAGACAAAAAUAAGCAAUGAUAUGAAACAUUGUAAUUAACAUAUUUAGCAAAUUUGACUUAAAUAACAUAUGAAGAAACACUUUUUAAAGCCAUUCAUGGAAUACUUAGAAAUAUUGACCAUGUAUUAAGCAACAGAAGAAAUCUCAGCAGGGUCUUAGCAAAUGAAUCUGUAAUCACAUACAAUUAUUACAACUCAAUAAUGAAGAUAUAAGACUCAGCACCUUACUUUCUGAAAUUUAAAAAUUACUGCAAAAUAAUUCAUUAAAAUGAAUAUGACAAAUUAGUCACAUGAAUACAAAAACACAGUAUUGCUGUAUCCCUAAAAUUCAGUUAAAAUAGCAUUUAGAAGAAAACUUUUAGCAUAUAUUUAUAUAUUAGAAAGGAAGAAAAAAUGGAUAUUAAUGUGCACAACUUUAAAUCUCAUAAAGAACAAGAGAAAUUGAUAGAAAGCUUUGUAAGGUGACUAUUAUAUGUAAAUUUUGAAUUUAAUAAAGGUAAAAAGUCAAAGAUAUUAGUGACAAGAAAACGUUUUCUUUGUAAAUGUAAUUCAACCAAAAAAUACUCCUCUGGUAUGACUGAUCAAUAAGUAUGAGGAACGUUACAAAUUUUAUAUGUAUAUGAAAUUUAAAAUGUCACGAAUUAAUACUAUAAAUAAAUUAUAUGUUCUUAAAGUAGAAAUUUUAAUUCAAGACAACUUUCACAAAAUACAAUUAUCUAUACUGACACAAGAAGUAUAACAAAAAGAAAAUAGACCUGUAAUUAUUUUCACACAUGAACCACACGUCAGUUUUUAGGAAAAUUCUAUCAAAUUUUCAGGAAAUGAAUCAUCAAUAUUAUGCAAAUUGUUUCAAAUGAUGGAACAAGAUGGAAUUAACUCACUGAUUUUUAUAAUUUAGCAAUAAUCUCUCACUGUAUACAAAAAUCAACUCAAAAUGCAUUGAAGACUUAAAUGUAAGAUCUGAAUCUAUGAAACUACCAGAAGAAAACAUUGGGGAAAACACUACAGGACAUUGGUCUGGGCAAAGAUUUUUGAGUAAGGCCUCAAAAGCAUAGGCAGCACAAGCAAAAAUGUACAAAUGGGAUUACAUCAAGCUAAAAAGCUUCUACACAGCGAAGGAAAUAAUCAGCAAAGUGAAGAGACGGCCUACAGAAUGAAGAAAAUAUUUGCAAACUAUCCAUCUGAUAAAGGAUUAAUAAAUGAAAUAUAUCAGGAACAAAAAUCUUGAUAGCAAAAAAUCAUAUAAUCCAAUUUAAAAUGGAUCAAUGAUCUGAAUAGAUAUUUCUCAAAAGAACACAUAAAAUAGCCAACAGCUAUCUGAAAAAAUACUCAAUAUCACUAAUUAUUAGGAAAAUGCAAGUCAAAACCACAAUGAGAUACCAUCAGACCCCAGUUAAAAUGGCCAUUAUUAGAAAGACAAUGACUAAGAGAUGCUGGUGAAGAUGAGCAAAAGGGUAACACUGAGGUCUGUUAUUAGGUACAAAAAUACAGGUGGGAUAGAAGGAAUAAAUUCUAGUGUCCAAUAGCACAAUAGGAUGACUAUAGUUAACAAUAAUUUACUGCGUAUUUUAAAAAUACCUAAAAGAUUUAAAAUGUUUUCAACACAGAGACACAAUACAUGUUUGAGUUGGUGGAUAUCCUAAUUACCCUGAUUUGAUAAUUACACAUUGCACGCAUGUAUCAAAAUAUUUCCAUGUACCCAAUAAAUAUGUACAAUUAUUAUGUAUCAAUAUUGAAAAUAUUAAUAACAAUAUCUGAGAAGACUAUACCUGAAGAAAAUUACAGAUCAAUUUCAACUGUGAAUAUUGACAUUACAAAAACCUAAACAGAUAUGUUCUUUAAAGAGAAACCUCACAUGCAAACACACAGAUAGAUACCCACUGCUGUUUCAUGUAAUAAACUUUGUACUAGAAGUUCCAGCCUGUGUACGAAACCAAGAAAAAUAAAUUAAGAGACAAAAACAGCACACUGUCGUUAUUAGCGGAUGUAUUUUUCCACCCAGAACACUCUAAACAUGCUAUAGAAACAUUAUUUCAACUAAUAAUUUUAAGACAUUUGCUGCUUAUAAGAGCAAUAUAUGAAAAAAAGUGAAUACAGUUAAACAACAAAAUAAAUAUAGUCAGUGUUUGGGUCCUGGUGCUAUAAAAAUAAUAAAAAAAGAUUUUGGUAUUGUUUAAUCUUUAAAUAAGCUAUGAUUUGUUUAAAGACUUUACAUAUUUCUAUUAGUGUUCAUUAGCAUUUUUAGUCCUGUUUAUAAUGUAACACUCCUUUUCUUUAAAAUAUUCCAUGUUUCAUGUCAUAAAAUACAAAGCUCAAAUCAAACCAGAGUGUGUGUUUUUUAAGUAAAUCAUUAAAAUUGACAACACUUCUUAUUGACUUUAUAGGUUAUAUUUACAUUUGUAAGUGUUUCUUAAGAUAGUGUAGUAAUUACGUUCAUUAAACAAUAUAUUAUUAACCCUAAUCUAGAAUUUAUUUAUUUGAUUGGGCUAAUCUUAGAUUCUUACACUGUUCCUGUCUUUAAAAUCAUUUUCAAACAUUGAAAUCUCAUACAAGUUUUAAAAUUGUGCUUAAAAUCAUAUAAACUUUAUUGUCUUGAAAACUGUUAAGUAAGUACAUUACGGUAGUGUUAACUAUAUGCAUGUUGUUAUUCAACACAAUCUCAUCAAUUUUAAGAACAAUUUAUUGUGGAAGCAACUGGCAACCCAUUAAGUCACAGGUGAUUUUAAGUAAAUUUCAAGUAUAACUUGUCAAGUGGAAUCUUAAUGCUUUUGAAGAUAAAAUCUUAUAAUCUAGUUUUCUCUCUUCCAUUUUAAAGAGUGAUAGCUAUAAUGAAAUCACCUUAAACUCCUCAUUGAAUUAUGCCUCUUUGUUUCAAUCACUUUUUAAAAAAUCACUUCUAUUUGAUUUGAGGACAACAUUUCCCUUCAUUUUCUCAGUUACACUAUUAAACUGUGAAAUAUAUGUAUAAAUCAUACAUUAUUUAACAUAUGUUGUAAAAUGUGCAGUAGACUCAGUCCCAUAUAAAGAAAAACAUCGCAUCAGUAAUUAAUCAAUAAAAACUAAAAAAUGAUUUUACCUUAGAAAUAAGACUGUGAUUAAUCUAAGGAAUAGUAAAGGUAGUGUGUUUAGGUUAGGGAGACUAUUAUUGUCUUACAGAUGUAAAUUUGCAUUAAUAUUUACACUUUUAUAUCAGUUAUAAAAACUAGAAUUCUGUAUUAUAUAAGAAUUUUGUAUCCCCAAGUCAUUGUCAUUUGGUGUUCAUUCUUAACAUUAGAACCACUCUAUACACUGCAAAACAAGUUUUACUUUCAGUAUUUAAUUUAUAAAAUCCUUUCAAAACACUUCUUUUCAAGGGAAUUCUAAAAAAUUCUAAUCCUUUUCACUAAAGGUAAAUAUAAACAAUCGAUGAUAUUAAUGUAGUGAAAAAGUUCGAUGUUUAUAUAGUGAAAAAUUGAGGAAAUUUUGAUUUAAAUAGAUGGUUAGGAAAAAACUGAUGGUAUAAAAUUCCUUCCAAUUGUAAUAUUACAGUUGUGCUGAUUGGGUAAAUGGCAAAAUAAUAAGUUUUUUUAUUGUUAUGGCAAAUAACUAAGGAUAUCUAGAAUGUUGAGAUAGAAAAAUUUUCAUGGCUUUAUACCCCGCCCUAAAAUGUUGGAAAGAUAUAUUACUUUUUGUGUUUAAAUGGUCUUAUGUACUUCAAAGUGAUGUUUCAAAAAAUGUUACCUGCAACAUUGAGUCUUUGUGUCCUCAUGCCUUUGAAAUUUCUUAUUGAAAUAAAAUUGACAUAAGUGAGCAA
Long non-coding RNA from Homo sapiens (human), 8378 nucleotides. RefSeq lists it as uncharacterized. The transcript has 2 exons. NCBI's taxonomy places the organism in Eukaryota, Metazoa, Chordata, Mammalia, Primates, Hominidae. The record is from RefSeq and is a predicted model, not a curated record.